ACGGAAGGCAGCAGUGGGGAAUAUUGGGCAAUGGGCGAAAGCCUGACCCAGCAACGCCGCGUGAAGGAUGACGGUCUUCGGAUUGUAAACUUCUUUAAUUGGGGAAGAACAAAAUGACCUACCCAAAGAGUAAGUCACGGCUAACUACGUGCCAGCAGCCGCGGUAAUACGUAGGUGACAAGCGUUAUCCGGAUUUACUGGGCGUAAAGGGCGUGUAGGCGGUCUUGCAAGUCAGAAGUGAAAUUCCUGAGCUCAACUCGGGCGCUGCUUCUGAAACUGCAGGACUUGAGUGCUGGAGGGGAUAGCGGAAUUCCUAGUGGAGCGGUAAAAUGCGCAGAUAUCAGGAAGAACACCGGCGGCGAAGGCGGCUAUCUGGACAGUAACUGACGCUGAGGCGCGAAAGCGUGGGGAGCAAACAGGAUUAGAUACCCUGGUA
RNAcentral lists this ribosomal RNA (436 nucleotides) under uncultured Saccharofermentans sp. RNAcentral describes it as "bacterial SSU rRNA". It matches the Rfam family "Bacterial small subunit ribosomal RNA", at positions 341 to 792 of the family's 1533-position model. The record is from RNAcentral. Lineage: Bacteria; Bacillati; Bacillota; Clostridia; Eubacteriales; Oscillospiraceae.